Molecule: transfer RNA, 25 nt
Filed under: Bussea sakalava
Lineage: Eukaryota; Viridiplantae; Streptophyta; Magnoliopsida; Fabales; Fabaceae
Description: partial tRNA-Phe
Source: RNAcentral
UCGGGAUAGCUCAGCCGCCUUGGUA